UUAAAAUGGCAGAGGAGUUAGGCUCCAAAAAC
This 32-nucleotide non-coding RNA is filed under the name Rattus norvegicus (Norway rat). The record is from RNAcentral. Lineage: Eukaryota; Metazoa; Chordata; Mammalia; Rodentia; Muridae.